This 321-nucleotide ribosomal RNA is filed under the name Dysmerus sp. BYU CO743. RNAcentral describes it as "partial 12S ribosomal RNA". The record is from RNAcentral. Lineage: Eukaryota; Metazoa; Arthropoda; Insecta; Coleoptera; Laemophloeidae.
UAAUAGUUAUGUUCUUGAAAAUUAAAGAUUUUGGCGGUAUUUUAGUCYAUUCAGAGGAACCUGUUCUGUAAUUGAUAAUCCACGAUUAAAUUUACUUGCAUUAAUUAAUUUGUAUAUCGUUGUAAUAGAAUAUUUUAUAAGAAUUAAAUGUUCAUAAUUUUUAAUUAGAAAGUAAAUCAAAUCAAGGUGCAGUUUAUAUGUAAGAAGAAAUGGGUUACAAUAAAUUUAUAUUUAUGGUUUUUAAUUUUAAAAGUUAUUAUAAAUUGGAUUUGAUAGUAAUUUUUUUUAUAUAAAAAAAAUGAUUUUGGCUCUAAAAUAUGC